RNAcentral lists this ribosomal RNA (729 nucleotides) under uncultured Magnetospirillum sp. RNAcentral's name for it is "bacterial SSU rRNA". It matches the Rfam family "Bacterial small subunit ribosomal RNA", at positions 9 to 815 of the family's 1533-position model. The record is from RNAcentral. Lineage: Bacteria; Pseudomonadati; Pseudomonadota; Alphaproteobacteria; Rhodospirillales; Rhodospirillaceae.
GAGUUUGAUCCUGGCUCAGAACGAACGCUGGCGGCAGGCUUAACACAUGCAAGUCGAACGAAGGCUUCGGCCUUAGUGGCGCACGGGUGAGUAACACGUGGGAAUAUACCUUUCGGUGGGGGAUAACGUCGGGAAACUGACGCUAAUACCGCAUACGCCCCUUGGGGGAAAGAUUUAUCGCCGAGAGAUUAGCCCGCGUCCGAUUAGCUAGUUGGUGAGGUAACGGCUCACCAAGGCGACGAUCGGUAGCUGGUCUGAGAGGAUGAUCAGCCACACUGGGACUGAGACACGGCCCAGACUCCUACGGGAGGCAGCAGUGGGGAAUAUUGGACAAUGGGCGCAAGCCUGAUCCAGCCAUGCCGCGUGAGUGAUGAAGGCCUUAGGGUUGUAAAGCUCUUUCGGCGGGGACGAUGAUGACGGUACCCGCAGAAGAAGCCCCGGCUAACUUCGUGCCAGCAGCCGCGGUAAUACAUGAAGGGGGCUAGCGUUGUUCGGAAUUACUGGGCGUAAAGCGCACGCAGGCGGUUUGGUCAGUCAGAAGUGAAAGCCCCGGGCUCAACCUGGGAACUGCUUUUGAUACUGCCAAGCUUGAAUCACGGAGAGGGUAGUGGAAUUCCGAGUGUAGAGGUGAAAUUCGUAGAUAUUCGGAAGAACACCGUGGCGAAGGCGACUACCUGGCCGUGCGAUUGACGCUCAUGUGUGGUAGUCCACGCCGAUAAACGAUGAGUG